Vigna unguiculata (cowpea) is the source of this 352-nucleotide long non-coding RNA. The record is from RefSeq and is a predicted model, not a curated record. NCBI's taxonomy places the organism in Eukaryota, Viridiplantae, Streptophyta, Magnoliopsida, Fabales, Fabaceae.
UGGACUUUUGCCAAAGAAAUUUGCUGAAUUGGUGGAUAAAAGUCUAUUAUUUAAAGUCGAGAGUAGGAAUGAUCAGACCUUUAAACUUGAACAAUCUUUCAAAGUUAAGAAAAUAUGUUUUGAUGAUGCUAUAAUUGAUAAGUUUAAUGAUUCUUCCAUGAAGUCAGUGGAUAUAUAUGCUGGCAAUGGAGAAUUCAACAGGGAAAAGGAGCGUAUAAUUAAGGAUUCGUGUGUAGAUGUUGCAAAGGUACCCUAAGAUAAUCCAAGCAUUGAUGAUUCGAAUAAUCCAUUGAAGAAGGAAUCAACAAAGAAGGUGCUAUCACUGGACUCUAUUGAAGAAGACAAUAUUUCG